AGGACGAACGCUGGCGGCGUGCUUAACACAUGCAAGUCGAGCGGAAAGGCCCUUCGGGGUACUCGAGCGGCGAACAGGUGAGUAACACGUGAGUAAUCUGCCCCUAGCUCUGGGAUAGCUCCGGGAAAACCGGGAUUAAUACCGGAUACGACCACUUUAGACAUCUGUUGUGGUGGAAAGAAUUUUGGCUAGGGAUGAGCUCGCGGCCUAUCAGCUUGUUGGUGGGGUAAUGGCCUACCAAGGCGACGACGGGUAGCCGGCCUGAGAGGGCGACCGGCCACACUGGGACUGAGACACGGCCCAGACUCCUACGGGAGGCAGCAGUGGGGAAUAUUGCGCAAUGGGCGAAAGCCUGACGCAGCGACGCCGCGUGGGGAUGAAGGCCUUCGGGUUGUAACCCCUUUCAGCAGGGACGAAGCGAAAGUGACGGUACCUGCAGAAGAGCGCCGGCUAACUACGCGCCAGCAGCCGC
RNAcentral lists this ribosomal RNA (472 nucleotides) under uncultured bacterium. RNAcentral describes it as "SSU rRNA". It matches the Rfam family "Bacterial small subunit ribosomal RNA", at positions 26 to 518 of the family's 1533-position model. The record is from RNAcentral.